RNAcentral lists this long non-coding RNA (907 nucleotides) under Malus domestica (apple). RNAcentral's name for it is "long non-coding RNA (MDOM_LNC007407)". Lineage: Eukaryota; Viridiplantae; Streptophyta; Magnoliopsida; Rosales; Rosaceae. The record is from RNAcentral.
GGGGAUAAGAAGGAUGGGCGCCAUAUGUUGUCUUGAGGAAGCAUGGCUACCUCUUCACCAAAGUUCAAGUCAAAACGAUGGUCGGAUGGGCCAGACAUUUUCCAAAAUGAUGAAGGAGAAAUGAGAUCCAAUAAAUCUCUAAAGUACAAAAAUAAGGUGAAAAUUCCUACAAGUAAUAACUCCCUGAACGUACUUCUUACACACAAUUGGUGCCCCUAUAAAAGAAAGGGCAGCAAGGCCGUUUGUUCAAAAAUCGAAGAGGCACCACUCUCUGAAUUUCAAGAAGGAUAUUUUCCUAAAUAAAAUAUGUCGACAAUCCCUACACGCAACAUCAGCUCCUCAGGUACCAUAGAUAACUUUGCCAAAGAUCUCUAACAAAGUUUAGACACAUAAAUUUUGAAGGUCCAGCUACCCUACCAUUACCCACAAGGGUAAAGGAACAACACCACUGCUUGAUAACUAGAAAGUCCCUAUGUGUGUCAACCUCCGUGCUCCGUGGCAAAGUAGACUGGCAAAAAUGCCCAACCUUUACUCACAUUAUAGAAAACACUCCCAACAGGAUUGCUUGCUAAAAAAUCGAAGAGGCACCGCUUUCUGAACCUCGAGAGCCAGACUUCCAACAAGAUUACUUGCUCAAAAAUCAAAGAGGCACUGCUUUUCGAAUCUCGAGAGUCAGACUCCCAACAUGAUUGCUUUCUCAAAAAUCGAAGAUGCACCGCUCUUCGAAACUCGAAAGCCAGACUCCCAACAGGAUUGCUUUCUUAAAAAUCGAAGAGGCACCGCUCUCCGAAUCUCGAAAGACAGACUCCUAACAUGAUUGCUUUCUCAAAAAUAAAAAAGGCACCGUUCUCUGAAUUUUGAGAGCCAGAUCAUCCACAGGAUUGCUUGUUCGAAAAUCGAAGAGGCA